This 32-nucleotide ribosomal RNA is filed under the name Gnetum parvifolium. Its description in RNAcentral is "partial 18S ribosomal RNA". Lineage: Eukaryota; Viridiplantae; Streptophyta; Gnetopsida; Gnetales; Gnetaceae. RNAcentral also lists the same sequence under 10 other names. The record is from RNAcentral.
UUACCGUAGGUGAACCUGCGGUAGGAUCAUUG